Molecule: ribosomal RNA, 406 nt
Filed under: uncultured bacterium
Lineage: Bacteria
Description: partial 16S ribosomal RNA
Rfam family: Bacterial small subunit ribosomal RNA
Source: RNAcentral
AUUGAACGCUGGCGGCAGGCCUAACACAUGCAAGUCGAACGAGUGGCGGACGGGUGAGUAAUGUCUGGGAAACUGCCCGAUGGAGGGGGAUAACUACUGGAAACGGUAGCUAAUACCGCAUACCAUCGGAUGUGCCCAGAUGGGAUUAGCUAGUAGGUGGGGUAACGGCUCACCUAGGCGACGAUCCCUAGCUGGUCUGAGAGGAUGACCAGCCCCCCUGUAACUGAGACACUGUCCAGACUCCUGCGGGAGGCAGCAGUGGGGAAUAUUGCACAAUGGGCGCAAUCCUGGUUCAGCCAUGCCGCGUUGCUUAAGGAGGCCUUCGGGUUUUAAAGUACUUUCAGCGAGGAGGCGUUACGCGCAGGAGAAGCACCGGCUAACUCCGUGCCAGCAGCCGCGGUAAAAC